Molecule: ribosomal RNA, 253 nt
Filed under: uncultured bacterium
Lineage: Bacteria
Description: partial 16S ribosomal RNA
Rfam family: Bacterial small subunit ribosomal RNA
Source: RNAcentral
UACGUAGGGUGCGAGCGUUAAUCGGAAUUACUGGGCGUAAAGCGUGCGCAGGCGGUUCGUUAAGUUCGUUGUGAAAGCCCCGGGCUCAACCUGGGAACUGCAAUGGAAACUGGCGGGCUUGAGUGUGGCAGAGGGGGGUGGAAUUCCGCGUGUAGCAGUGAAAUGCGUAGAGAUGCGGAGGAACACCGAUGGCGAAGGCAGCCCCCUGGGCCAACACUGACGCUCAGGCACGAAAGCGUGGGGAGCGAACAGG